This 474-nucleotide ribosomal RNA is filed under the name uncultured soil bacterium. RNAcentral describes it as "bacterial SSU rRNA". It matches the Rfam family "Bacterial small subunit ribosomal RNA", at positions 26 to 486 of the family's 1533-position model. The record is from RNAcentral.
AGAGUGAACGCUGGCGGCAGGCCUAACACAUGCAAGUCGAACGGCAGCACGAGAGAGCUUGCUCUCUUGGUGGCGAGUGGCGGACGGGUGAGGAAUACGUCGGAAUCUGCCUUUUUGUGGGGGAUAACGUAGGGAAACUUACGCUAAUACCGCAUACGACCUACGGGUGAAAGCGGAGGACCUUCGGGCUUCGCGCAGAAAGAUGAGCCGACGUCGGAUUAGCUAGUUGGAGGGGUAAUGCCCACCAAGGCGACGAUCCGAGCUGGUCUGAGAGGAUGAUCAGCCACACUGGGACUGAGACACGGCCCAGACUCCUACGGGAGGCAGGCAGGUAGGGGAAUAUUGGACAAUGGGGCGACAAGCCUAGAUCCAGCCAUGCCGUGUGGUGUAGAAGAACGGUCCUUCGGGUUAGUAAACGCUUACUUUUGGACCGGGAAAGAAAAGCAAGUACGUAAGUUAACGUUACCCGUUUAG